This is a non-coding RNA of Danio rerio (zebrafish), 46 nucleotides long. The record is from Rfam. NCBI's taxonomy places the organism in Eukaryota, Metazoa, Chordata, Actinopteri, Cypriniformes, Danionidae.
AUAACGGCUCUUUUAGGAGCCACACACACUAAGAACAAGUUUCCGU